AUAAUUCUUCGGGGCUGGGUGAAAUUCCCGACCGGCGGUGAUGAGAAUAUCUCUAAGCCCGUGACCCACGUCUAUUUGAUGUGGUGGAUUUGGUGAAAAACCAAAGCCGACAGUGAAAGUCUGGAUGGGAGAAGAAUAGG
RNAcentral lists this non-coding RNA (140 nucleotides) under Heyndrickxia ginsengihumi. Its description in RNAcentral is "Bacillus ginsengihumi FMN sequence". It matches the Rfam family "FMN riboswitch aptamer (RFN element)". From Rfam's summary of the family: The RFN element is a highly conserved domain that is found frequently in the 5'-untranslated regions of prokaryotic mRNAs that encode for flavin mononucleotide (FMN) biosynthesis and transport proteins. This element is a metabolite-dependent riboswitch that directly binds FMN in the absence of proteins. Lineage: Bacteria; Bacillati; Bacillota; Bacilli; Caryophanales; Bacillaceae. The record is from Rfam by way of RNAcentral.